This 403-nucleotide ribosomal RNA is filed under the name bacterium. RNAcentral's name for it is "partial 16S ribosomal RNA". It matches the Rfam family "Bacterial small subunit ribosomal RNA", at positions 355 to 776 of the family's 1533-position model. The record is from RNAcentral.
UGGGGAAUAUUGCACAAUGGGGGAAACCCUGAUGCAGCGACGCCGCGUGAACGAAGAAGGUAUUCGUAUCGUAAAGUUCUGUCCUAUGGGAAGAUAAUGACAGUACCAUAGAAGAAAGCUCCGGCUAAAUACGUGCCAGCAGCCGCGGUAAUACGUAUGGAGCGAGCGUUGUCCGGAAUUAUUGGGCGUAAAGGGUACGCAGGCGGUUUAAUAAGUCGAAUGUUAAAGAUCGGGGCUCAACCCCGUAAAGCAUUGGAAACUGAUAAACUUGAGUAGUGGAGAGGAAAGUGGAAUUCCUAGUGUAGUGGUGAAAUACGUAGAUAUUAGGAGGAAUACCAGUAGCGAAGGCGACUUUCUGGACACAAACUGACACUGAGGUACGAAAGCGUGGGGAGCAAACAGG